CAUGUCAAUAAGUAUAAGCAACUAUACAGUGAAACUGCGAAUGGCUCAUUAAAUCAGUUAUCGUUUAUUUGAUAGUACCUUACUACUUGGAUAACCGUGGUAAUUCUAGAGCUAAUACAUGCUAAAAAUCCCGACCUCCGGAAGGGAUGUAUUUAUUAGAUAAAAAACCAAUGCCUUCGGGCUCCUUGGUGAUUCAUGAUAACUUAACGAAUCGCAUGGCCUUGCGCCGGCGAUGGUUCAUUCAAAUUUCUGCCCUAUCAACUUUCGAUGGUAGGAUAGUGGCCUACCAUGGUUUCAACGGGUAACGGGGAAUUAGGGUUCGAUUCCGGAGAGGGAGCCUGAGAAACGGCUACCACAUCCAAGGAAGGCAGCAGGCGCGCAAAUUACCCAAUCCCAAUCCGGGGAGGUAGUGACAAUAAAUACUGAUACAGGGCUCUUUUGGGUCUUGUAAUUGGAAUGAGUACAAUUUAAAUCCCUUAACGAGGAACAAUUGGAGGGCAAGUCUGGUGCCAGCAGCCGCGGUAAUUCCAGCUCCAAUAGCGUAUAUUAAAGUUGUUGCAGUUAAAAAGCUCGUAGUUGAACCUUGGGCCUGGCUGCUCGGUCCGCCUAACCGCGUGCACUGAUGCGGCCGGGUCUUUCCUUCUGGCUAACCUCAUGUCCUUUACUGGGUGUGUUGGGGAUCCAGGACUUUUACUUUGAAAAAAUUAGAGUGUUCAAAGCAGGCCUAUGCUCGAAUACAUUAGCAUGGAAUAAUAGAAUAGGACGUGCGGUUCUAUUUUGUUGGUUUCUAGAGCCACCGUAAUGAUUAAUAGGGAUAGUCGGGGGCAUCAGUAUUCAAUUGUCAGAGGUGAAAUUCUUGGAUUUAUUGAAGACUAACUACUGCGAAAGCAUUUGCCAAGGAUGUUUUCAUUAAUCAGUGAACGAAAGUUAGGGGAUCGAAGACGAUCAGAUACCGUCGUAGUCUUAACCAUAAACUAUGCCGACUAGGGAUCGGGCGGUGUUCUAACUUAUGACCCGCUCGGCACCUUACGAGAAAUCAAAGUUUUUGGGAUCCUGGGGGGAGUAUGGUCG
This 1071-nucleotide ribosomal RNA is filed under the name Dactylella clavata. RNAcentral's name for it is "SSU rRNA". It matches the Rfam family "Eukaryotic small subunit ribosomal RNA", at positions 54 to 1131 of the family's 1831-position model. Lineage: Eukaryota; Fungi; Ascomycota; Orbiliomycetes; Orbiliales; Orbiliaceae. The record is from RNAcentral.